UACGUAGGUGGCAAGCGUUAUCCGGAUUUAUUGGGCGUAAAGGGAACGCAGGCGGUCUUUUAAGUCUGAUGUGAAAGCCUUCGGCUUAACCGGAGUAGUGCAUUGGAAACUGGGAGACUUGAGUGCAGAAGAGGAGAGUGGAACUCCAUGUGUAGCGGUGAAAGGCGUAGAUAUAUGGAAGAACACCAGUGGCGAAAGCGGCUCUCUGGUCUGUAACUGACGCUGAGGUUCGAAAGCGUGGGUAGCAAACAGG
RNAcentral lists this ribosomal RNA (253 nucleotides) under uncultured bacterium. Its description in RNAcentral is "partial 16S ribosomal RNA". It matches the Rfam family "Bacterial small subunit ribosomal RNA", at positions 524 to 776 of the family's 1533-position model. The record is from RNAcentral.